RNAcentral lists this transfer RNA (105 nucleotides) under Hypoxylon rubiginosum. Its description in RNAcentral is "tRNA-Asp". It matches the Rfam family "tRNA". From Rfam's summary of the family: Transfer RNA (tRNA) molecules are approximately 80 nucleotides in length. The record is from RNAcentral. Lineage: Eukaryota; Fungi; Ascomycota; Sordariomycetes; Xylariales; Hypoxylaceae.
GGCUUAGCGGUGCGAUGGUAGCACGUUCCAUCGUCAACACUCCGAGAAUCCUCGGCUGAAACGUUGACGUUGGAAAGAUCGCGGGUUCGAAUCCCGCCUGGGCCG